ACCUGGUGAUGUGGGCAUUUAUGCAAAAGGUCCCUAAAGUGCUUCUAUGACUUAAAAAAUUAUUCACCAUCUAUUUGUGAGAAACUAGUGAUUUCCUUCCUAAACU
Malania oleifera is the source of this 106-nucleotide small nucleolar RNA. The record is from RefSeq and is a predicted model, not a curated record. NCBI's taxonomy places the organism in Eukaryota, Viridiplantae, Streptophyta, Magnoliopsida, Santalales, Ximeniaceae.